RNAcentral lists this ribosomal RNA (1598 nucleotides) under metagenome. RNAcentral describes it as "bacterial SSU rRNA". It matches the Rfam family "Bacterial small subunit ribosomal RNA". The record is from RNAcentral.
AGAGUUUGAUCAUGGCUCAGAACGAACGCUGGCGGCGCGUCUUAAGCAUGCAAGUCGAACGGUAGAGUGACUUCGGUCACUUGAGAGUGGCGAACGGGUGAGUAACACGUAGGUAAUCUACCUUUGGAUUGGGGAUAGCCCAUGGAAACAUGGGGUAAUACCGAAUACGAUCUUUUAGGAGAGGAAAGGCCCUUAGGGGCCGUCCGGAGAUGAGCCUGCGGUCCAUUAGCUAGUUGGUAGGGUAAUGGCCUACCAAGGCUACGAUGGAUAGCCGGCCUGAGAGGGUGUACGGCCACACUGGGACUGAGACACGGCCCAGACUCCUACGGGAGGCAGCAGCUAAGAAUCUUCCGCAAUGGGCGAAAGCCUGACGGAGCGACGCCGCGUGAAUGAUGAAGGCCGGAAGGUUGUAAAGUUCUUUUCCUGGGGGAGAAUAAUGCAAGGAGGGAAUGCCUUGCAGAUGACGUGAACCAGGGAAUAAGCCCCGGCUAAUUACGUGCCAGCAGCCGCGGUAACACGUAAGGGGCAAGCGUUGUUCGGAUUCAUUGGGCGUAAAGGGCGCGUAGGCGGCGUGAAAAGUCUGGUGUGAAAUACUCCGGCUCAACCGGAGAGACGCGCUGGAAACUGCCAUGCUAGAGUCUAGGAGGGGGAGCUGGAAUUCCUGGUGUAGGGGUGAAAUCUGUAGAUAUCAGGAAGAACACCGGUGGCGAAGGCGAGCUCCUGGCCAUAGACUGACGCUGAGGCGCGAAAGCGUGGGGAGCGAACAGGAUUAGAUACCCUGGUAGUCCACGCUGUAAACGAUGUGCACUAGGUGUUGGUCCCGCUUUGAUAUGAGGGGAACGGAAGUUCCUCCGUCGAUGGAGAGGAGAGAGGUGUCGGACAGGCAGACACCUUCUGGUUACUCGAUCGGACUCAGUAUACUGAGAUGGAAAAGCGGGAUCAGUGCCGUAGCUAACGCGUUAAGUGCACCGCCUGGGGAGUAUGCUCGCAAGGGUGAAACUCAAAGGAAUUGACGGGGGCCCGCACAAGCGGUGGAGCAUGUGGUUAAUUCGAUGAUACGCGAGGAACCUUACCAGGGUUUGACAUAUAGCGGACGGCUACAGAGAUGUAGCUUCCCUUCGGGGCUGCUAUACAGGUGCUGCAUGGCUGUCGUCAGCUCGUGCUGUGAAGUGUUGGGUUAAGUCCCGCAACGAGCGCAACCCUUGCUGUCUGUUGCCAACAGGUAAUGCUGGGGACUCAGACGGUACUGCCGGUGACAAACCGGAGGAAGGUGGGGACGACGUCAAGUCAUCAUGGCCCUUAUGUCCUGGGCUACACACGUGCUACAAUGGCCGGUACAGAGCGACGCGAGACCGCGAGGUGGAGCAAAUCGCAGAAAACCGGUCCCAGUUCGGAUUGAAGUCUGAAACCCGACUUCAUGAAGGUGGAAUCGCUAGUAAUCGCGCAUCAGCAUGGCGCGGUGAAUAUGUUCCCGGGCCUUGUACACACCGCCCGUCACACCACCCGAGUUGGGGGUACCCGAAGUAGCUAGUCUAACCGGUAACGGAGGACGGUGCCGAAGGUAUGCCUGGUAAGGGGGGUGAAGUCGUAACAAGGUA